This 106-nucleotide small RNA is filed under the name Marmota monax (woodchuck). The record is from RNAcentral. Lineage: Eukaryota; Metazoa; Chordata; Mammalia; Rodentia; Sciuridae.
GCCAGGUGUGGUGGGCACGCCUGUAAUCCCAGCAGCUCGGGAGGCCGAGGCAGGAGGAUUGCAAGUUCAAGGCCAGCCUGCACAAGUUAGCCAGGCCCUGUCUCAA